Molecule: long non-coding RNA, 19196 nt
Filed under: Podarcis lilfordi (Lilford's wall lizard)
Lineage: Eukaryota; Metazoa; Chordata; Lepidosauria; Squamata; Lacertidae
Source: RNAcentral
GUUGGACUAGAUGACCCUUGGGUCCCCUUCGAGCUCUAGGGUUUACAACGCGAGGCCCGCCGCGCCGGAGGUUGACUGGGGCGGCGUCUGGGGACACUUGCCGCGCAAUGAGAGGCUAUGAGAGUUUUUCGGACCCGGGGGGGUUUCCCUUUAGCGCGCGGGGAAAGGCCGGCCAAAAUCUCGCGAGGAGAUGUGAAGGCGGCGGCGGCGGCGGCGGCUGCAGUCGCGGAGCAGGGCGGGUUCGUGUGUCGAGGAAGCGCGCGUAGCAUCCGGCUGCGGUGGAGUCUUGCAAGUGCGGUGCUGCGCUGCCCGGCAAGGGGUUCUCACGUUGCAGCGAGCCCAAAGGGCAGCCGACGUGGUUGCAGAGAAAAGCUGGUUUAGAAGGUUUACGCUUUAUAUUUAAAAUUAUAUCUGCUUUCUGAAAUUCUCACACACAAAAAGUUUAUUUAAGGUAUUAUUUAUAUUCCGCUUAGUUACACAAGUCAAAUUAAUAAUAACAAUAAUUAUUAUUGUACGAGGCUGCUAUCCUCAACUUAAGGCCAUUGACCAUUUUGAGAUUUACAUAUUCCCUAGAAUUUAUAUACCAAUUUAUUGCAGAAAACCUCAAAGUAAACAUGGAUUGGAUUUAUAAUAAUAAUAAUAAUUCUACAAGGCUGCUAUCCUCAACUUAAGGCCCAUUGACCACUUUGAGAUUUACUUAUUUCAAAGAAUGUAUAUACCAAUUGAAUGUAGAAAACCUCAAAGUAAAUGUGAGUUGGAUUAAUAAUGAUGAUAAUAAUAAUUUUAUUUGCACCCCCUUAUCUGGCUGGGUUGCCCCAGACACUCUGAACAAGGCAGAUACUAUUUUUCGCCAAAACAAAUGAAAGAGCAUCAGCACUUCUAAUUCUCAUCAGCCAAAUAGCCUGCCUUUUGCUACUGAACAUCACCCAGCAGUAAAGCAGCCACUGGAUAGUUGGAUCUGUUUUUAGGGUGAAUUCCCAGACAGGGCAGUGGUGUAGUCAAACAGGCCUGGGCAGUGCCGCCUUUGUACUGAGAGUGCAUCAUAGAACAUGACCUAGAAUCCCUACAAUGUGCAGGGAUUGCUUGGCAGACAAGAGGAUGUGGAAAAUGCUCCCUGAAGGCACAAAAUUUGGCCUACAGCAAAAUUUGCUCCUUCAGGAAAAGGCUAGAGGUCUUUUCUUGGCUGUAUGAGCUUACCAGAAGACUUUGCCACUUUAUAUAUAAUGUCUAUAUUUAGGUCCGUUUCUCAUGUUGGUUUUCAUUUGUCUAUUUCCUUAGGUUCAAUUCUGACUCCUAUCCCAUUCCACCCUUUCAAUUUUAGAGCAUGUCUAUGCAGGGAUUCCUAUUUAUUUAACUAAGGCUUCAAUGUGCUUAUUUAAAGUGCAUUGUCUCUGCAAGCUUUAUGACCUAAUGCCAAUCCCUUCUUCUCUGAUAUAUCAGAUCCGGAUGCUGGCAGUACCAUUGUGAGUACAAAAGUAUGUACAUCCUAAGGUUUAAUGGUGGCACAGGAAUCUUCCAUGCCAGGAUGUUGUUUACAAAUCCACAAACAUAAUAAGCACAUGCUUAUUGUUGAAAAACAGCAGCAUGUGAAAUCCAGAAAACCAUACAAAACUUCACAUUUCCCCCCAGUUCAUGUUACCUUCAUUUCUGUUUUCAUGAGUUGAUUUCUUCCAUUGAUUUUGGCACUCGGAACUCUCAUUAUGUAUGAUCUGAAAUUUAUCUAGAUUGUGAGUCACCAUGUCUUGUUUCAUCCUAUUUUAAAAUUAUUUGCAGCUUGGUGAGUUGCCAACUUUAGGUCAUAUACAAGUCUGGUUCAACUAAAGUCAUUGAAAAAGUGAACUCAUGAUAUGAACUUGAAAUUCUCUUUUUACAUUGCCUGCCUGCCUUAUUUGAUGUGACUACCCUUGCUGUUGCCAUUUCCCAGUGUGCUACAAUGAGUGCAUUUUUAAAUAUUUGGCUGAAUCCGGACUAAAUUGUACUGAGUUCCCUUUGAAAUCAAUGGGGAUUAAGCCAUGAGGCUAGGCCACUGAAAAUAUAAAAGUGGUUAAAAAUGAAUGACAAUUCUAUUUUUAAGCUUAGCAGCCACUACUAUGUUCAAGGGAACUGAACAGCCUAUUCCAUCCCAAAAUUCUGGAGCUUGUUCUUUCAGAAAAAGCAUACGCUGCACUAACGGGUUAAAUUAUAGACUAAUGAAAGCAGUUCUGCAGUUAAAGUUGAUGACCAAUUUCAGUAUUUUCUUAUUACAACCGGGAACUACAGCAACAUGUUGCAGAGUAGUUCUAGCCUGUAAUACGAGUAUCUCUGUUCUGGGCUCAAGUUAGGCUAGAAUUGGAGUCUUGUGGCCUUAUUUAGGCCCGGGGGGGUGUUCAAGAGGGAAAGGGGAAAAAACCAUGCCUUUUUCUUUCCUCUACCCAGCGUUUCCCAGCUUUCGUAUAGUGCUGUGGCUGCCAGCCUAUAUGUUAUAAAGCUAUACAUAGUGGCCUGCAGAAUGGGAAAGGUGAAAUGUGCAUUUCCCCCUUUCCUUUCAACUGAAAUAUCCCUGCAUAUUGCACGGAAGAGAAUUAUUUAUACCUGCGGCAUGUAUCUCCACACUGGUAAUUAUACUUCCCUCUAAGGUUCUUACCAUAAGUUGCUAGGGCAGAGAUGCCAAGCAUGUCUGUCCAAAUAAAUGCUGAGAACUACAAUGUUCAUGAUCCCUGACCAUUGGCCGUGUGGCUGGGGCUGAUCAGAACUAGGAGUCCCCCACCUAUUUCUUAGGACCUUGAGUAGCUAAUCCCCCAACUUCCAGCCCCCCAGUUUUAUUUUUCUCAGCUGGCACGUCAAUGCUCUGUAUGUUUCUUUUUUAAAAACAUUUUCAUUCACAGAUUUAAUUAUUGAUUCACAAGCACAUUUCCACACUGCCUUCCGGCCCUCACAGCAGUUUACAAUAACAGUCGAAACAGGUAAAAUAACUAAAACAAAUUAACAUGUCAAAACAGAAUUUGAACAGCCAGAGGAAGUUGAGAAGUUAAAAAAUUAAGAAACAUUGAUAGCCAGAUGGAAAAAAUACUGACUGCCUAAAACCUUCAAUUUAUAUUUCUGCCAAUCAUAUCUACCAUAAAGAGUCCCACAAGCAUGUGCAAACACUACCUAAUUUUGGGGUGGUGCCAUCACCUGCGUUCACCAUUGGUAUACAGUCGUACCUUGGAAACCGAAUGGAAUCUGCUCCAGAAGUCCAUUCGACUUCCAAAACGUUCAGAAACCAAAGCACGGCUCCUGCAGCCAAUCAGAAGCCCCUUCGGACAUUCGGUUUCCAAAAAUAGUUCGCAACCUGGAACUAUUUGCGAUGUUAGGGAGCCAAACCGUUCGAGAACUAAGCUAUUUGAAAACCAAGGUAUGACUGUAUACGAUAAAGCAUUAAAAUCCUAUUUAUUGUGCUAUUAGGUAAAGGUAAAGGGAUCCCUGACCAUUAGGUCCAGUCGUGGCUGACUCUGGGGUUGCGGCGCUCAUCUCGCUUUAUUGGCCGAGGGAGCUGGCGUACAGCUUCCGGGUCAUGUGGCCAGCAUGACUAAGCCGCUUCUGGCAAACCAGAGCAGCGCAUGGAAACGCCGUUUACCUUCCUGCUGGAGCAGUAUCUAUCUACUUGCACUUUGAUGUGCUUUCGAACUGCUAGGUUGGCAGGAGCAGGGACCGAGCAACAGGAGCUCACCCCGUUGUGGGGAUUCGAACCGCCGACCUUCUGAUCGGCAAGUCCUAGGCUCUGUGGUUUAACCCACAGCACCACCCACGUCCCUAUAUUGUGCUAUUACCCGGUGCAAAUGUAAAAGUGUGCAUGUUUCUUUCUUUGGUCUUGCUACUGCAUUGCUGUGAGCAAGCCAUGGUUUGUUGUCUGAACUUGUGCUUUGUCUUGUGUCAGACACCACGAGCUGUAACCAAGGAUUGUUGGUUUGUCUGGGGGAGACAAACAACAACAACAAGCCCUGGGACAGAUGGGGACAUGCUAAGCCAAACCAUGGCUUAGGUUGCAGCAACAGGACUGGCAGGGGUGGGAGCAAAGUGGCAGUCUCCUCUCCAGGAGCGCACAUGUUUAGACUAAACUGUUGUUUGGCUUAGUAGCACCUGCAAAGCGAGCCAUUAAAGACAGGAAAUUCAGCAUGGGAAGAAUCUGUCUUGUAAAGGGCAUGAUCUGACAAUCGUUUUUCAAAAUAAGUUCUCAGGAAAGAUGAUUAAUAGUUAAAAAGUUGAACAGAGGUACAUGUAUAAAUUACUAACAGGGUUAAAGGAAAGUUGUACUUUGAAGCCGCAUGUCUGUGCUGGAUUAAAGAAUGGAUGGUACUAAAUUAUACAGAUAUACUUGAUCUUGAAGGAUGGGACAACCAUUACAGUUGGCCCUCAUAUCUGUGUUGUAAUAAGGUAAAAGUCCACAGAAGAUUCUUAAAUCAUAUAAUCUGAAAACCCUUAUACAAGGUAUGGGGAAAAAUAAAAGCCUCUUGUAACCUAAAACACCGUGGUGGCUCUCACCAUUAGAGGCCAUCUUGGUAAAGAAAAAGAACAUGGAGGGGAAAUGGACAACCUAUAAAGCGUUAUUGAAAGAAGAACAGGGUCAACUUAAAUCUAAAAAAGUUUGAGGAAAUAGUUAAAAAGUUGAACAGAGGUACAUGUGCCCAACGCCAGCAACCAUUUUUGCGUCUCGCCUACCCACCCUAGCAUAUCUUAUGCUUUGUCCUGUUGGUGGUUCAGAUUCGGUUAACAUUUUAAGGAGAUUACAACGGUGUCCCCUCAGCUUGUUUUAUGAAGACCUGUUAGUUUGUGUGGCGUUUCAGACUUCCCGUUUAAAACAAGCCAUUUGAUUGAAGUUGUGGAAACCGUGUUUAGUUUGGCAGGCUGCAGCUUCUGAGGUGGAGCUUGUUUCCCCAAAUUAAAAUGGCCAUCCCCAGAGCGAGAAGAUGUCUUGCUGCAUGCUUUCAUAUCGUUUCUUUGCCCGUUGCAUGCUCCUGGGGUUUCCUUUGUGUUUGCAUGUGAUGUGGUAUUGCAUAUCUCCCAGACGCUGAGGUCUAGCGCUGAGGGCCUUCUGGCGGUUCCCUCAUUGCGAGAAGCAAAGCUACAGGGAACCAGGCAGAGGGCCUUCUCGGUAGUGGCGCCUGCCCUUUGGAACACCCUCCCAUCAGAUGUCAAAGCGAUAAACAACUACCUGACAUUUCUGAAUGACAUCUGAAGGCAGCCCUGUUCAGGGAAGUUUUUAAUGUGUGACAUCUUAGUGUAUUUUUGGUCUUUGUGGAAGCCGCCCAGAGUGGCUGGGGAAACCCAGCCAGAUGGGCGGGGUACAAAUAAUAAGUUGUUAUUAUUAUUAUUAUUAUUAUUAUUAUUAUUAUUAUUAUUAUUAUCGCAGUUUUGUGUGACAUGCCUCUGCAUUUGUUUGCACGUGCCGUGCUGCCAUGGGUGUUUGCCUAUAUUGUUCUGGCUUCAUGGGUUGCUGCACAUUUUUUUUAAUGUCGUGGACAAACUGGCUUGAGUUAAUUAUUCAUCUGGUAAUUAUUCAGCCAGGUAAUAUAAAUAACAAUCACAUAUAUUAUUCAAUUAGUAGUUAUUCUCGUGUCAAAGCUUUUCAAUGGCUUUCUCCGACUCCCUUACCAAAUAAAGGUUGGCAAUGCAUGGGGAUGUCUUUUCAGCCUGGCAGCCCUAUUCUCUGGUGAGCAAUCUGCUGUGGCCCGCAGGCCAGGGAUGGGCAGGGCCAGAGGCGAAAGCGGAUGUGGUCAUGCAGAAUGAGCAGAACAGUGGGUAGGACUCUUGCCUCUGUACAGUAGAUUGCAUUCCAGCUGCACAAGGCCAGAUGUUUCUGCACAAAUGCACUCCACACUUUUCAUCCAGGCAAGCGAGAGGCAUUGUCACAGUUUGAUGACACACACAAAAGCAUUCAGUGUGAGACUCUUAAUCGCUGGGUUCGAGUCCCAUGUUGGGGAAAAAGAUUUCUGCGUUGCAGGGGGUUGGACUAGAUGACCCUUAUGGUCCCUUCCAACUCUACAAUUCUAUGAGCAAUGAUUUCAAUUUACAAGAAAGGAGAUUCUGACUAAAUGUUCGGAAAAACCUUUUGACAGUAAGAGCUGUUUGGGAAUGGAACAGACUCCCACGAGAGGUGGUGGACUCUCCUUCCUUGGACGAUUUUAAACAGAGGUUGGGUGGCCAUCUGACAUGGAUGUUUUAGCUGAGAUUCCUGCAUUGCAGGGGGUUGGAGUAGAUGACCCUUGGGUCCCUUCCAACUCUCUAUGAUUCGUUCAAGGAGGGUGUAAAGCCUAGGGGUGUGUGAUGCCUAGGGAGAAUCCCAGGGACCAGACAGAGAGUUAUGGAGGGCUGCAUUUGGCCCCUGCGCCUGAGGUCUCCCCUUCCUGGUUUAGGUUUUAAUGUAGACAGUAAGGUUCAAUCAUACAUAAGGACUAGGCUGCUGCCUGGGGUAUCAUAAUUCAAAUAAUUACUGCCACUCCAAAAGCAGCAAGUCUCAGCCAGCGCUCAAAAUCAGCCAGGCGCACUUUGUGAGUAGGAAUAGUCUGAUUUGAGAAAUCUUGGUGCCAUGCACAGAGACUUGAGAUUCAAGAUUUUAAUCUUGCAGGAGGAGAACCGACUCUAAAGUAAGAUCGCUGGCUGCUGCCUUCCAAAGUGCUACUUUGCCUCCCCUCCCCACCCCAAACAUGUAAGUUCAAAUCUAGCACAAUAUUUUACAUAACACACACCCACGUAUUUGUAAAUAUUACUUAUUCAAAUGACUUGCGGUUUGGGCCACUAUUGCAGGGGCUGUGCCUCAUUUAUGUUUGUGGUGUCUAAUUAAGAAUUGCUAUUAAAAAUGUGACGUUAACACUGUGUCACUGGUGUGAAUUGUGUAUUAGUUCAUGUGUUAAAAUAAUUAAUAAUAGAAAGUGCCGCUAAACUGAGAGGGAGACGACUAGCCAUUCUCUUUUAGUGCUCAUAACCUCAGUUCCAGCAGCCAUGUGGCAGAUAGCUUUUCUAUCUCUAUUUCUAACAGUGGAGUUGUUUGGCUGGUUCUUGCGCAGCUAUGCUCCCUAUAGAAACUGAGAAUUUGCCCCAAAUCCUUUCUGCCAUCAUGACCUCCCAACCACUCCCAUUAUCUUUCAGCACAAUAGCCCAAACCGUUAUGCUGUUGUUUUAGUUUUAGUAAGAUUUAGCUCUUAACACUGCAGGGUGAUCAAAUUACUAUCUUCAUGCUAUGUGUAAUCAGUCACAUUGUGUUGGGAAAAGUAUCCCUGAAAGUGAAAUGGAGCAUUCAUUUAGCUGUACAUAAAAAUAGUCCGUAACAAUUAGUCAUAAUAUUUUGAUGCAUAAUGUAUCUAACUGAAACUGUAUAUUAAAUACUUUUCGUAAUAGAGCAUGACUGAUAUUUUAUGGUAAUAAAUUAUGGAUUUCAUCGUGUAAAUAAAGAAUAACACAAGUAAUGACGUGUAAUAUAAAUAUAAAUGGGAAUGGGACAAUGGAGAAUUGUAGAAGGUGGAACAUAUUACUUUAUAGGGUCUGAAAUAUAAAGCAGUCUUAUCUUCUCCUGCCCAAGAGAUACACUAAAUAAUUUUAUUCAGAGUUAGGAACUGCUUUGCAGUAAAGCCAGAGGGUGAUAUCCAACAUUAGUCAAGCUCAGAUUUGAUCUACUGAUUUCAUAGGUUAUCCUUUUAAGUAGGACUUAGUUGGAUAGUUCCCAGAGCGUUUGGCCACGAUCCAACAAAGGGACACAUGUGAAUGCGCGUGAACUGCACAUAUAGCCAGAGUUUCACGUGGCAGCUUUUAUGGGUGCCACUUCAGGUUUGGGUAAAAAGUUGCCAAAAAGCACUCGCAACAAGGGAAUGCUCACAAGAAGAUUCAGUGGCCUUUCUGUUAUCCCCCACCUCCUUAUUUCCUUUAAUAUGCUCUUUUGGAAGAAACCGGAAAUUCAACAUCUCCCACCACCCCAAACUAAAGUUGAUUAAAUAAGGGACAAGUAAUGAAGAAUUUAUUUCUAAACCAUCAAGUAGGAAAGUAGUAAUCUUAGCUGGACCUGCAAUCAGGAAUGUUUUCCUUACCAUUAAGAAGGGGCUUGUGAAUAGACGUUGGAGACAUCCUUGGCAUAGGGAAGGGAAUUGCUGGAUAACCUUGUGCUUUAGUAAUUGCUUGCCUGCUGAUUGUGGAGAAAUUCAGCAUCACUAGACAACCUAGCUAGAGAGUAUUUGUGAUAAGAAUGAGAGACUGAGGUGUAAAGAAUGUCUCAACUGAUAGCCUGUUUCUAUGCGGAAUAAUACUUAAUACAGAUAAUGGAUUAAUGAGAUAAUGUAUUAUCUCAAAAUGGUGUCAUUUAUACCAGUCCUUUGUAAAACCAUAAAAUUUAGUAGCAGGGAUGCUAUUAACGCCACAUAAGUGAUGCAAUUAGGAGAAGGUAAAUAUCAAGAAAGCAAAGAAAUGCAGAAUUCCUGCUGCUGUCAUUAAGGAGCAUAGUAGUCUUGCCUCUGCUGCAACAUGAGACAGUAAAACAAUGAAUUAUAAAAUUUACAACACCUGUAUAAUGGCCAUGAGAACGGUGAAGCAAGAUUUAUGCAGUUAAUAUUUUAUAGAGAGGAAAUGGCAAAGAACUGGAAGACCUGUGCACUAUAAUUUUGAAUAACCACUUUAGAACUGUAGGUGUGGUGUCUAAUGAAUGGUUUAAGGAAAUGACUGGUGUUUUCUGAUUUAUUUGAUUAUCUUAUGUCGUACUGAAGAUAUAGGGCUUGUGUGCUUGUCACAGAGUAGGUGGGUGGGUAACUAUACAAUUAUUAUAAAGCUAGGUGUGUCUAUAUCUUGGUUAUAUUAAUUAUUGCUUACGUACAGCUUAAAAAUAAUUGAAGCACUGAAUAUCCAAUACACACACAUACAUAUAUACAUAAAACAAUGUAUGUGUGUGUAACACACAAUUGUAUAAGUUACAGAUUUAAUUCAGAUGACGAUCCGAAUCAUAGUUUGGAGGAUUGGGAAUGUAUUACAGACUUAUGCGUCUUACCCUACUCUCCCUCUUCCUCUUUUGCCAAUCUCACUUCCAUUUCCAGCUUUUUACAAAUUCACAGCAUGUCGGUGGGCCCUGAUGUGGAUCAUAACUCCAGGUUGAGUGGGGUGGUUGGGGUUGUAGAAGGUUUUAAGCCUUUGCUCUCUGCUGUGGUCCCAUAUGAUGCAGGACCUGCAUGCUGCAGCUUGCGUGGGGGGGUGUCAGGCCCCUUUUCCUUGGGUGGAGUUGGACUCCCUGAUCUGUUUUGGGACUACAGUGAGAGUUUAAAACUCCUACCCCUGUGCCACGCUCCUGAUCCGAUUUGCCCCACCAACAACUGGCAAUUUGUGAAAGAAAAAAUCUGUGCUCAAGGGCAAACUGUAGGAUUGAAAUCAGCAUGGUUGUGAACCUGGCGGUUUUUGUUAGCGCUCUUCUCUGAAGCAUGACUUGCAUGCUUUCAAAUAAAGGUUUUUAAGUUAAUGUUAAGCAUAGUUUGCAGACAUCAUGGUAACGUGGGUAAAAGAAACCUGGAGAUGAAGAAUAAGGCAGACAAUGAAAGGUAUCCCAAGCUAGGAUUGCAAUGUGACAUCUGAACUGGGCCAUAGGCUAAAACAUGUUCAUUCACAGGAUUGUAGUCAUAAUCCAGUUCACUUGUGAGCAUUUAGUUCUAAUUGAAAUCAAUGACUCUGCCAGAUUGUGAUCUUUAUAUCUUGAAAUCAGUGAGCACUUUUCGGUCUGAUUUAUGUCAGUAGAACAGUUAAGCAUGUACAGUACUUAAAUCCCUCUCAUUUAAAUAAGUUGUACUGACAGUCAAACUGUGUGUAUGAUUACUUUGAGCUAAGUUUCAUGUGACUCCUUGUAUUGUGCCAUUUUAUUUAUUUAUUUUUUGCUUUAUGCAUACAUCACUACUCCAAAUAACGCUGAUCUUUUUUGAGGGCUCAUUUGAAAUUCAGAUUUCCCUGCAUGGAUUUUUUUCUAUUAACUCCAGGAAGGUUGCUAUUGAGCACAAUUAUUCCCUCUAUUUCCAAUGUUCAGAGUGUGAGCGCCAUUUUUUAUGUAGCCAAACUGCCACUGGCCACAUGCAAGAAGGAGAUAUCGGCAGGUUUAGGAAGAAUCUAAAGGAUUGCAGAAGGAAGAAACAAUGUUUCUUGGGGAGGGGGGGAGACCCUAAGGGAGUUUUUAUUAAAAACCCACCAACCUCCAAACAAGCAAAUGAGUACAGAGUGACUGCUUAGGGAUAUGGGGAAGAGAAAGUCAAGUUUGAUGGGAAAUGGAAUGGAAUAUCUUGGCAAAGGGGAUGGCUCAGUGAAUGGAAUGAUGAACAGGAGCAUCUUGUUUCAGGCCUACUCUUCUAUAAUUAUUUUAUAAAGAAUAAUUCACAGACUCAUUGCCAUUCAAAAUGUUUGCUCUCUUUUGAUGUCUUAUUUUUCAUUUUUGUGCCCCAUAAAUAUACAUAGGCACUGUACUGUGAUGGUGUGAGGGAAAGGCUUAUCUUAUAACCUGUUACUGGUGUUACCUUCCCCCCUGGAUAUUGGACAAAUUCCUAAACAAAUAUUGUAUAACCAUGAGGCAUCUUAUGUAUAUUUGUGUAUUAAAACAGACCAACACUUGCUUUUCUUUUUCUUGUUUAAUGGUACCAUAUUUCUGAAAGUUUGCCAGGCACGUUCCAUAAUUAAGCUCUUCUGGCUGAAACACUUCUAAGCGAUUUUCAUUGCUGGCCGGAUGCGGGGAUGGGAAAGCUCAUUUCAGCAAGUUAGUAUGAUUUUUAUACUUGCUACUAGGUAUUCUGCCUUCCAGCUCGGGUUACUGUUGGUUUUUCCUUGCAUGCAGCAGUCUAAAAUCAAGACCACCAUUAACAGUAAGAACAGUAAGAAAAAGUUAAUCUUCCAAAAGGGCUACGUUUUUAGAACUUGAUGUUUGCAGCUGACAUUUUCACAUUGCAUCUUUUGAAUGCUUAGUUAAACAUGCUUAGAUGGAUCCACAAGUACCAUUUGUCUUGAAUCAGAACACCUAAAUAGUAGGUACUGACUUUCUUCUCCCUGUUCUGGUCUUAGCUAGAGAAGGGAGCGAUGGGAGUAUCAAGUUAGAUUUCUCCCACUGCGGUCUAGAAUCCUGUCCUGGGGUAUCAGGUAACUUUCAGCAACCAAGGAUUCUAAGCUGCUGAUGGAUGCAAAAUUCACUCUCUCCUUGUGGGCAACUUGUUGCCUAGAAAGGUCACCUCUGCGCUGUAUCCCCCCAACUGGUUGUCAGUCCUUGGCCAGAUGACCCAACAAAACGAGAUUCAUAAGUGUGUUGGCUGAGCUUAAGAAAAGGGUCAUAAACGAGACGCCAAAAGCCCCCGAGACAAUAGGAUCAGCUUGACUAUGUGAGGAUGGCACAAAGUACUAAUGAUAACCUCCCAAGUGUUCUCUGAACAAGGAGGAAGCAUAACAUACCUAUCUUACGCUGCGUUGCUCUGCCGAGGGUAAAAUACAGUCCAGAUUGUGGGUGGAACAGCUGCUGCUAACAGUCCCGGUUGAUGCCACAUGGUUAUUACUCCUGCUUUGUUCAGUAUGUCUGAAGAAGGGCAUACCAACAUUCCCCAUGUCAAUAUUUAUAUCAGAAGGGAUAUGCUCUCCCUCUGCAAAUGCUACUGUUGUCUUAAGCUCCAGUUACAGAAUUAGUCUUGUCAAGUCCAUUUAUGUCCUGCCUCAAGUACUUAGCCAUUGAUUCAGUGAAUGUGUGGAAUCUUUCUGCAGCCAUCAUUGGUAUGAGAACCAUGGCAUCCCUGAUGAACAGUGUGGCUUCUUUAUUGCAUGCUUUGAACCCCAUGGAUUCUUUCAGCUCUUUGUGCUGGUUUUCCUACCUUAUCUUCAGAUGGCAAGGAGGCAGCUUAUAGGCAGGGCUUUUUUUUCAUCUGGAACUCAGUUCCAGAACCUCUCAGGUGGGCGCCAUUGCCAUUAUAAGAGAACAAGGGAGUUGUUCAUGGUGCAUUCUGGCACCUAUUUUUCUAGAAAAAUAGCACUGGUUAUAGAUACAAAUGAGUCAGCCAAGAACAGCUAAGCCACACAAUAACUUCUGCACAUUCCUUCAAAAUAAAUCUGUAAUUUAAAAAAAUUAAUAUAUUGACCAAAAUUGCUGGAAUUAAUGCCAAAAUUUGAUUUGGUUUUAGUCAUAGCACCAAAUGCUAUGCCAGGAUUUUUGACUGAGCAAAAGGUUCCAUCUUAAUCGAGUUUGCUUUGCUGGCCACAAAUCUUUUUAUUUGUCAUACAUUAGCAUUCAUUUCGCCAGAUGCUGUUGACAUCUGGUGUUACAUGCUGCCCAGGAAAUAUGUUAAGCAUUUUAUAUGUGAUAUAAGACGAAACGUGCUUGUGAUAUCCCAAUAAGAAAUGAGCAUGUUCGCCUAACACAAGGGUUGUCAACCUUGUCCCUACCGCCCACUAGUGGGCGUUUCAGGAUUCUAGGUGGGCGGUAGGGGGUUCUACAGCAGAAGCAGAAUCCUCCUUCCAUCGAGCACUGGUGGGCGGUAAGGAAAUUUUACCAUCAAGAAAGAUGCAUUAGUGGGUGGUAGGUAUAAAAGGGUUGACUACCCCUGACCUAACAUCUAGCAGUAAGACUCAUAUCAGGAGCGAAUCGUAAAUAUUACACAACACGUGUCUUGAAGGAAGUGAGUGCCCAUGUUUUAUAAGCCCAGUCUGAUGUCUUUAUAUUGACCCUUAAAGCUCUAAAAUGUUUAGGCCAUGGAUACCUAAAACAGCAACUUUCUCCAUAUAUACCAUUGUUUUCAGAAGAGUAAUUGUCGCCUGUGAGAUCUAUAAGGCUUGUCCAGCCAAACACAGAGUGGGGAGGCUAUACUGUGUCAUUCUCUAGUGGCAGGUGUGCUGUUGUCACCUGCCUUAUGUGCCAGUUCAUGCAGCCUCCCUGCCCCACCUGCUGUGCAUCAUUCUCAUCCCCAGCCAUCGAUACGCUCCUGUGUGAAUCGUAGCUCAGGUUGGUGACUGGGUUGCAUUGCACUGGUGGGGUGGGCCAGGCUUGAGUUGUCCUUUUACCAUUUUUGUUCCUCUCUGGCUUCCCGUCUCUCUGCCAGUUGGGAGAUGGAGCAUGCAUUGCCUUCACAGCUCUGGCCGACACGAGCUGUCCUUAAGACUUUUCUAUAUCCUUCCCACUUCUGGCCUCCUCCCCCCACUGGUUAUGGGAUAAUUCAUUCCGUAGAAUUCCCAGUCCAGUAGGCACUUCGUGAAGAUGCUUCCGUUUGGUGGCUGUGCUCUUAAUCCAUUUCACUUGCACACACCUGCUCCCCACCCCCCACCCUGCCUUGAUUCUUUCAUGGCAAUAUCAGGCAUUUUCUUCUUGAUGGCAUUUGUGCCAGUUGCGACAAUGUGAGCAUUCAUUUGUGUGUCCCUCCGACUCUGCUAGCCAUUCUCCAGUCUUGCUUAUGCCCUUGCAAGCCUUUGAGCGAACAACGACUAAUGUGGACCAGGAGGAUGUUCCCCCUGUGUAGAUUUGAAAGAUGGGAUUUUGCGAAUGCCUGUUUAUGCUUUCUUGCAUUAGAGUAGGAGGUAAACCUAUGUCUUGUUGGGGGGUUGGGAAUCAAACCAGCCACUCUAGGGGUGAAUGCUUGCUUGUGCUUUGUUAUAGCACACUAAGGAGUUUGCUUUGCUGAGGCCACAGUUUCUUUUGGGCUCUUUGUGCGUCUUCCAUGUCUGUAGCGUGUAGCAUUGUGACAGACAUGUCCUUGGCAUAUAGCCUGCAUGGAUCGGUUCCCUGUGCUUCUGUGUUAUAUAAUCACUGGCUCUGCCCAACAGGGGUGUAGUGUUGAUGCGUCUAUGUCAUUCUGCCAUUUUGGGAUUUUCUGGUUGUGCAUGUUUCCUCCUCUGCCAGACAGAGCAAGUAUAGGAUACAACAGCCUUCCUCAUCCCCUGGUAUAAUGUACGGUUGCUCUGCCGAGCCCAUGUGCACUGAAAUAUUGCUCACAUCUGCACUAGAUUCAGACAGAUGUAAAUGUUUCAGGCUUUGUGCGUUGAACUCAGUUGCAGGAUUCAUGGAUUUGCCCUGCUUAAAGAGGGGUGAUUUGUGUGCUCUUCCUUCAGUUGCAAUAUAGACUGUGCAGAGGAAGCGUACUUAUCUUGUGACCCACUAAUCCAGCUGCAGCACAACAGUCCCAAAUGUCAGCUCUUGAAAGGCUUAAUAAAUCUGCCAGCGGGGGGGUGGGGGGGUGGAGUUUGCUGUCUGCCUAACCCUGCAAAAGUGGAAAAAUCUAAAGCAUUUUACAAACCAUAGCACAUGGCUGGUGCUUUGUAAGCCUUUUGAAAACGAGGUAUUUGGUCUUUGUGCAUUUUGGCCCUCCUACAAGUUGCUUUGAGGAGUUUUCUCCGGGUCUUCAUUCAGGUAUUGGAUCCUGGCUGACAGCUAACUUUCAGAAUAUCCUCCGAUAAAAAGUGUCUCAUGCUUUCACUUUUCACACUCUCAGUCUACUGUCUUAAGGGAAUCUGUGGCAUUUUUUCUCAGAUUUUAUUUAUUUAGCAAGCCUUUUGUCCCAUUUAAUCAACAAAAACUUCUAAAUGGUUUGCACAGAACAGUAUAAAAUCUUCAUUAAAAAUACAGAUGAUUACCUCUCCAGCUUGUUGGUUUCAGCAAUGCACUGGUGAAGUGUCUGGUUCUUCCCAGAUAUUUCCGGAAGUCCACGGCCAGGAGUUGAGCUUUUCUUUCUUUUUUUAAGGUUAUUGUUGCUAGUUGGAUCUCGCCUUCGUUUGUUACCUUUUCCAGCAUCAUUCCCACUAAUGGUGAACUCAGCCGAUGAGUUCCAGCAGGACUGUGUCCAAAACAACAGAAGCUGAAAAACGGGAGGAAGGAAUUGGCAUGCUCAGAGGAGACCCAUAGUUUGCAGGAACACCUGUGCACACUUUCUAAGGGGGCAGUCUCCCUGCUCAAAAAGGACUGAGCAUCCUCAGUGGCCACAUAAUAUUGAGUGUCUGUUGUGUAGAACAUAAUAUUAGUAAAUAAAGGGAGAAUGUAGUGUCUUGGCUGACGAUGGAACUUUGCCCAGGCACAUCACACUGCAAUAUUGUGUUGUACGUCCUAUGCGUUCUUUCCUAAUGAGUUACCAGGCAGUCUCAGGUCUGCCUCAUAUGUGCUUGAAGCUGUUGUGUGCAAAAGCUCCCUCCCCCCAUUUGUUGAGUGCAAUGAUACUAGCACUGCAUAUAAGGAAUCAUUGGCCCCCUAUAAGGUGUUGAGCCUUUCUGGGUAAAGAAGGCUUUCUUUCACUUGUGGGUUCUACUUGCAAACAUCUCCCCAUCCACUGGUAAAAAGAAAAAAAGGUAAAGGACCCCUGGAUGGUUAAGUCUAGUCAAAAGCAACUAUGGGCCACGGGUGGCACUCUGGUCUAAACCACUGAGCCUCUUGAGUUUGCCAAUCAGAAGGACGGUGGUUCGAAUCCCUGUGAUGGAGUGAGCUCCCGUUGCUCGGUCCCAGCUCCUGCCAACCUAGCAGUUUGAAAGUAUGCCAAAAGUGCAAGUAGAUAAAUAGGUACCACUGUGGCGGGAAGGUAAACGGUGUUUCUGUGCACUCUGGUUUCUGUCAUGGUGUUCCGUUGCGCCAGAAUUGGUUUAGUUAUUCUGGCCACAUGACCCGGAAAGCUAUCUGUGGACUAACGCCGACUCCCUCAGCCUGAAAUCUAUUUCUGCUCGGGAUGCUGUGGGAUUUGAACCAGUGGCUCAGGAAAGCCCUUCUCCUGUUGCUAUCAGGAUCAGUUUUCUGUCCUCCAAACUGCUUCGGCUGCGGCAUUAACUCUGCGAGAUGAGAUGCGAUGUACUGUGUCACCAUCUGUCUAUUGGAGAGACACAGCACCUUGGGAGAUUGGGAGAAGUCAUAAUACUAUUGCCUCAAUGUCCAAGUCUUGAUGUUACAGAAAUGACAUUUAGGGCUACAUAGGGAUUUUUCUUCCUGAAUACUUGGGAGUUUCUGUGAAAAUAAGAAAAAUGUCAACAACACCCAAGUUAUUAUCAUUUGAGAGGAAAACAUUUCAGCACCACUGCAGUAUAUUUUCAGUGUUUUCCUUGAAAUCUAAUGUUUGUUUGUUUUAAGAAACAGGUAUUUACUAAAGCCAGCUUCUAAGCUGACUCAGCUGGAACGCUCCAGCAUUCCCUAAAAUUGCUUGACUAGGAAGUGGGAACAGAGUGUUCUCAGUUUUAGGUCACCAAGGCUGUGGAUCUCUUUUCAUUUCAGCACAACAGUCAAAAGGUUUUUCACAUCCAGGUACAACACAGAGAAUCUAUCUGGAGUUGAAUUGAGGUUUAUUUGUUUGGUAAAUGGGGCUUUUUCAUAACCAUCAGCUAAUAAAAGAUUUCUUUUGCAGCAUUGUGGAAUUUAUUUAUUUAUUUUUUGUAAAAGAAAUAGUACUUGCUUCUGCCAGAGGGACAAAAUCUGUGCUCCUCAAAUCUUUUCUUCAGCAGCAAUCCCAUUGACAAAAGAGUUUGUAGUAUGACCCAUUAUUUUAUUCUUAAAGAGACCCAGUUAGUUACACAAUUGGAUGAUAGAAAAUAAGACUAGAAUUUGUUUUUCAUCAGUGGAGGCCUUCUCCUAAUAACAGACUGCUUUAUUUUUGUUGUUGGACCAUUUUACAUCUCUAAAGAACGGGGGCAGUUACAACCUUCAGGCCUUUUGGUUUGCUGCUACACAUAGCUAUUGUAUUCAUUACACAAAUCGUACCUUCUUAAAUUAAAUUAAGCCAGCAUCUGUGCACUUAUUAGGUACCUAUUAUAAGUGUUCCCGUUGCUUUUGAAAUAUUUGGCUGCCACCGUAGCCAGCUUUUAGAAAACCCUUAAUGCAUAAUGAGAUCUAAGGAACACCAGCUGUGUCUUGAAAAUGAGAACAUCAUAGCUGCCAUUACAGGUCAGAUAUCUUGCUUUUUAUCCAGCAAUCUGCAGUGACCAGUCUCACAAGCUUUAUAGGCAGCAGGGUUUGUGAUUAUUUGUGCUCAUAGUGCUAUUGGGCCACCCACGUGCGAUCCCACUUUCGAUAAUGCUUGUUCCUUCAAAGAUUUUGAGGUGGUUGCACAUUUACAUUUCCAAUCGGUGAAUAUCCCUAUCGAAAUUCUAUAGCUUUUUGCACCAGUAAUGUUUUGGUUGGUUUUCGUCCCACUUUUGUUUUGCUGUAGCCCCUCCAGACAGCAGUAAUGUGAUAGCUCCGAGGAAGCAUUGCAGAAUGAACUAAAGCAGAAUAAAGCUAUUGCUGGUCAAAGAAUUGUGGAGUUGGAAGGGACCCUGAGGAUCAUUUACUCCAACCCCCUGCAAUGCAGGAAUAUGCAGUUGUCCCAUACAGGGAUCAAACCUGCAACCUUCACAUUAUCAGCACUACCCUCUAACCAAUUGAGCUAUCCAGGCUUUAAUGGACUGUUAUUGUAUAAAAAAUGCAUAUUAGAAUACACCAAUAAUAAAAUACCAGUGUGAAUGGGCCCAAAGUAUAAAUACACAUAGGGCUUAUCCACAUUUACCUUUCCUUUGCAUUUCCCAGCCCUAAAUGGCCCAGUAUACCUAAAGGAGCGUCUCCACCCCCAUCAUUCAGCCCGGACACUGAGGUCCAGCUCCAAGGGCCUUCUGGCGGUUGACUCACUGCGAGAAGUGAGGUUAUAGGGAACCAGGCAGAGGGCCUUCUCGGUAGUGGCACCCACCCUGUGGAAUACACUCCUAUCAGAUGUCAAGGAAAUAAACUAUCUGACUUUUAGAAGACAUCUGAAGGUAACCUUGUUUAGGAAAGUUUUAAUUGUUUGAUGUUUUAUCGCAUUUUUAAUAUUCUGUUGGGAGCUGUCUACAGUGGCUGGGGAUUAUUAUUUAUUAUUCUCCAUGUCCGAGUACCCCUGCUUUUGUUUCUGUUUGCUCUGGAGCUGUCCCCAUGAAAACCUGCUCUUUAAAGCUGUAUCAGAGCAAAUGGCAAUCCACAGAAAUCCCAAAUUGCCAUUUGCUCCAACUGAGUGCUGAAGAGUAGGUUUUUGCUCACAAAGCUUAGGACACGGUGCUUUAAAGUGUGGACCUGUGUAUGUGGAUAAGCCCAUCGUGCAGAACCAGCUUAAGAGAAUUUAACAUAAUUCAUGUAUAAGAUUCUGAUUUGCCCUUGAGUCCAAAAUCAAAUUUCUCUCGAGGGUACAGGCGCUACCUUUUAUUUAGUGGGUUGCUGGUGACUUGCUUUGACGAGGCCCACCUCUUACCUUUGUUUUCACGCUUGUAAACAGACUGUCCACACACCAGAGACCUUUUCGUCCCAUCUUUGCUUUGUGUUCUCUAGCAUCCUACCCGUAGCAUCACCAAGAAUCGGAAUCGAGGGCAGGGCUGCGCAUGCAGGAGUAGACCCGAUUCACAAAGGUUCUCAUUAUGUUUUAUGGGGCGACGUAAACAGGUUUCAGUCAGCAAGACUACUGGGAGAGAAGUGAAAACCUCCCCCCCCCCCAAGAUGAGGUCAUCAGGAGCUGGAGGCAAACAUUGCAUUCACCUCCCUGAGUUAGGUAAAACACUGAACCUAGAGAUAGCAUUGCAGCAGAUGAUGGCCUCCACUGAGAAGCUAGAGACUCGUUAUAGGUAUAAGGAAUAUUGUAAUAUAAUACCUUGGUGCACAGUGUGGCCUUUUGUACCAAGAUAUUCAUUCAAGUAUGAUGUCCUGAAUUUUCCCCCAAAGCGUGCUUGACACUCAUAUUUUGUAUGACAUGUAUAGGUUCAAAUGACAAACAAAAUGUUGGUGAUUUUUUAAAAAAGUUUUGAAACUUUGCUGCAAGUAACAUCUAUGUUUAUGCAAUAUUCAUUUAUAUCUAAAAGUUUUCUUUAAUUUUCUGUUUUACAAUUUAAAGUACAGUGGUACCUCUAGAUGCGAACGGGAUCCGUUCUGGAGCCCCAUUCACAUCUAGAAGCAAACGUAAGCAGCGACAGCACGUCUGCGCACGCACAUGUCGCGUUUCGCUGCUUCUGCGCAUGCACGUGAUGUCAUUUUGAGCGUCUGUGCAUGCGCAAGCGGCGAAACCCGGAAGUAACACGCUCUGUUACUUCCGGGUUGCCGCGGAGCGCAACUAGAAUGCGCUCAUCCCGAAGCACAUUCAACCCGAGGGAUGACUGUGCUCAUUUUUUUUGCAUUUUUUACAUCCUUAAGAUAUCAGUGACUUCCUUUCUCUUUCCAUGGUUCAUUUUACAUAUUAUAUAUAUUACAUAUUAUAAAUCCCUGCAUAUUUUACCAAAACUAUACCAUUCAGUGUUCCAUUAUUACAUCUACC